Molecule: ribosomal RNA, 499 nt
Filed under: uncultured Glomeromycotina
Lineage: Eukaryota; Fungi; Glomeromycota
Description: partial small subunit ribosomal RNA
Rfam family: Eukaryotic small subunit ribosomal RNA
Source: RNAcentral
CCAAUAGCGUAUAUUAAAGUUGUUGCAGUUAAAAAGCUCGUAGUUGAAUUUCGGGAUCAAUAUGUCGGUCGUGCCUCGGUACGUACUGGUGUCAUUGGUUUCUCCCUUCUGAAGAACCUUGAUGUCAUUAAUUUGGUGUCUUGGGGAAUCAGGACUGUUACUUUGAAAAAAUUAGAGUGUUUAAAGCAGGCUCGCGCUUGAAUACAUUAGCAUGGAAUAAUGAAAUAGGACGUUUGAUUCUAUUUUGUUGGUUUCUAGGAUCGACGUAGUGAUUAAUAGGGAUAGUUGUGGGCAUUAGUAUUCAAUUGUCAGAGGUGAAAUUCUUGGAUUUAUUGAAGACUAACUACUGCGAAAGCAUUUGCCAAGGAUGUUUUCAUUAAUCAAGAACGAAAGUUAGGGGAUCGAAGACGAUCAGAUACCGUCGUAGUCUUAACCAUAAACUAUGCCGACUAGGGAUCGGAUGAUGUUGAUUUUUUAAUGACUCAUUCGGCGCCUUACG